UGGCUCAGUGGUUAAGAGCUCGGCUGCUAACCAAAAGGUUGGUGGUUCGAAUCCACC
This 57-nucleotide transfer RNA is filed under the name Loxodonta africana (African savanna elephant). It matches the Rfam family "tRNA", at positions 8 to 63 of the family's 71-position model. From Rfam's summary of the family: Transfer RNA (tRNA) molecules are approximately 80 nucleotides in length. Their secondary structure includes four short double-helical elements and three loops (D, anti-codon, and T loops). Further hydrogen bonds mediate the characteristic L-shaped molecular structure. tRNAs have two regions of fundamental functional importance: the anti-codon, which is responsible for specific mRNA codon recognition, and the 3' end, to which the tRNAs corresponding amino acid is attached (by aminoacyl-tRNA synthetases). tRNAs cope with the degeneracy of the genetic code in two manners: having more than one tRNA (with a specific anti-codon) for a particular amino acid; and 'wobble' base-pairing, i.e. permitting non-standard base-pairing at the 3rd anti-codon position. The record is from Rfam by way of RNAcentral. Lineage: Eukaryota; Metazoa; Chordata; Mammalia; Proboscidea; Elephantidae.